UUUUAGCCACAUUCUCGUACUACAGACAGUCGUAGCUUAUAAAUCUCACCGUGUGUCUGUUCUUGUUGAAAAUACAAUUUUGACCCGGAUUUUGACAUCUUGAUUUAGGCCCAGAUCUAAUACAACUAUAAAAGUUGUGAAGUGAGAAGUUAUUGUGCUUAUUUGCUGUUAUUCGCAACAAUAUUAACUCUGAUUUGAAAAUGUUGACAGAUAAAAACGGAAACAUAUUGGUUAACUCCCCUUGAAAACUGAGAAUUUUCAAUUGCUGAGUCACUAUCAGUUUUCUGUACCAAUAUUCCACAGUUUUGCUCACAACCUAGACUGUCAGUUGAAAUAUGGUCAGAGAUAUGUGACUGGCACUGGAAUGACAGAUGGAGAAGGCAUUGAACGUCUAUGGAGCUACCUACGAAGAUUCAAAAUAAUAACC
This is a long non-coding RNA of Patella vulgata (common limpet), 427 nucleotides long. RefSeq lists it as uncharacterized. The transcript is spliced from 3 exons. The record is from RefSeq and is a predicted model, not a curated record. NCBI's taxonomy places the organism in Eukaryota, Metazoa, Mollusca, Gastropoda, Patellidae.